AUGCAGCUCAACUACCGCGUGCCAAGCCCAUGCGUGAGUAAAUACGGCAGGCGCAGCUCAAUCCAUCAAGCCAUGGCAGACUUGCUCCUCCUAACCCUGCUUCCCUUGGCUCUCCUCUUCCUCCUCCUCCACCAUGCAUCGCCAAUCAAAGCCCUUCUCACGAGGGCCAAGUCGGUUCUGGCACCGGAGCUCUCCACGGUGUGGAAGCCACAGCCAGCUAGCAUCUUCGUCACGGACCCCGAGACGGCGCACAGCCUUCUCGUGCGCGGCAGCGCCGGUGGCUCCUUCUCCAACCGCCCACCGUCCAUUUCUCCCAGCGCCAUCCUCUCGCGCCGUCAAUACCAGAACAUCACCUCCGCUCCCUACGGUGAGCACUGGCGCGCCAUUCGUCACAACCUCACAUCGGAGGUCCUCCACCCAACGCAGCUCCACCGGCACGCGUCAGCGCGCCGCCGUGCACUACAUGGACUCGUCGUGGACCUCGCCGAGCAGAGGAAAAACGGCGUGGUUCACGCGGCGGAGAGCAUCCGCUACGCUAUGUUUGGCCUGGUGGCCAACAUGUGUUUCGGCGACGACAUCGACAAUAACCGCGUCCGUGCCAUGGCCGACGCUCAGAGUGACCUCGUCAAGUCCCUAUCUACGGCGCGCGUGUUCGCGCACGCGAAGCUCCCCGCACUGACCAGGCUCAUUUAUCGUAAUCGGUGGAGGAAGCUAGCCGCCCUGCGACAGCAGCAGGAGCAGACGUACCUACCACUCAUCGACUCCCGUCGCGGCCGGCACCGGCGACCCAGCGAGACGCCGGUGUAUGUGGACACGCUCAUCGAUCUCAAGGUGCCGGACGACCACAGUCAGGACCCAAGGCGGCAUCGAAGAAGGCUGUCCGAUGGUGAACUCGUCGGCAUGUGCUCCGAGUUCCUUGGUGCUGGAACUGAAACGACAGCAUCAGCGCUGCAGUGGAUCAUGGCCAACUUGGUGAAGCGUCCUGACAUACAGGAGGCCGUCCGGAAGGAGAUCAAUGCCGUCGUGGGUGCGGACGCCGAGGAAGUCAGCGAGGUUGUUCUUGGGAAGCUGGAGUACCUGCACGCUGUGAUCAUGGAGGCACUCCGGCUGCAUCCGCCGACGUCUUUUGCAUUCAGGCAGGUGAUGGAAGAGGAUCAUGUGGUUCACAAUGGCCGGCGUAUUCCAGUGGGCACAAAAGUGUACUUCCCACUGGCUGCUAUAGCACGAGACAGGACAGCGUGGGAUAACCCUGACGAGUUCAAGCCACAACGGUUCCUGUCCUGCAAGGAUGCAUCCCAAGGAACCGACGGCACGAUCAAAAUGAUGCCUUUCGGCGGUGGUCGGAGGAUGUGCCCUGGUAGGGGUGUCGCAAUGCUGCACUUAAGCUACUUCACCGCCAACCUUGUGAGGGAGUUCCGGUGGAGGGAGGGAGAAGGUGAGCUUGCUGUCGAUCUCCAGCCGCAUGUUGAGUUCUUCACUGUCAUGAAGCGGCCAUUGCGUGCUCACCUAGAGCUUGAAAGGACAGAGAUCAAAACUAGUUAA
Molecule: ribosomal RNA, 1542 nt
Filed under: Triticum aestivum (bread wheat)
Lineage: Eukaryota; Viridiplantae; Streptophyta; Magnoliopsida; Poales; Poaceae
Description: partial small subunit ribosomal RNA
Source: RNAcentral